GUUGAAAUUGAAUAUAUUAACGAUGAAGAGCAUACUUUUAUAAAAGAGUAUACAGAAGUUAUGCAAUAUGUUGCUGUUUCCCUUGAAAUUUUGGAAGGUGAGGAUAAUAUGGAGAUGGGGUAUUAUGUUCCCACUUUAAGUAUCCUAAAUACCAAAUUAAAGAGAUUGAAUAAUCUAAUCUUAUGCCAGCCCCUAGUAGACUCUCUGUUAAAAGGCAUUGAGAGAAGAUUCCCAAACUUAUACAAUGAUGACAAUGUCUUAGCAGCAAUGGUUCAUCCAAAGUUUAAACUAAACUGGCCAUAUAUAAAUUCCGAUGAUGCCAAACAUCAACGCGAUAGGCUAAUGGCGAAGCUGAAUAAUCUUACUCCAACAAACAAAGAUUGCCGAGUAUCUACCACGAAGACAUCCUCAAAUAAUUUUUUUGAAAUUAAAGAUGAUUUAAUAGAAAAUCCAAUUGAUCUUUUUUUUCAAUCAAAAAAUAUUGAAAUGAAUAUUUUUGAUAAUUUUUCAUAUAUUAAAAAUUUAUAUAUAAAAUUUAAUACACCCUUGCCCUCAAGUGCUAGUGUUGAGAGAUUAUUUAGUAAAGCAAAGCUUAUACUUUCUGAUCGUCGCUCUAGACUUGGGGAUGAUAAUAUUGAAAUGAUAUUAUUAUUAAAAUGCAACAAAUUAAAAUAAAUAUUUAUUUAUAUUGCUUAUUUUUUAUAAUCGAAACUAACUAUAUUUUUAUAUUUAUAAAUGUUGAUUUUUAUAUAUUAUUUAUUAUACAUUUACAUUA
Long non-coding RNA from Gordionus sp. m RMFG-2023, 775 nucleotides. RefSeq lists it as uncharacterized. The transcript has 3 exons. Lineage: Eukaryota; Metazoa; Nematomorpha; Gordioida; Chordodea; Parachordodidae. The record is from RefSeq and is a predicted model, not a curated record.